CCUACGGGUGGCAGCAGUGGGGAAUAUUGGACAAUGGGGGCAACCCUGAUCCAGCCAUGUCGCGUGUGUGAAGAAGGCCCUCGGGUUGGAAAGCACUUUCAGUGAGGAAGAACGCCUGGUGGUUAAUACCCAUCAGGAAAGACAUCACUCACAGAAGAAGCACCGGCUAACUCCGUGCCAGCAGCCGCGGUAAUACGGAGGGUGCGAGCGUUAAUCGGAAUUACUGGGCGUAAAGCGCGCGUAGGUGGCUUGAUAAGCCGGUUGUGAAAGCCCCGGGCUCAACCUGGGAACGGCAUCCGGAACUGUCAAGCUAGAGUGCAGGAGAGGAAGGUAGAAUUCCCGGUGUAGCGGUGAAAUGCGUAGAGAUCGGGAGGAAUACCAGUGGCGAAGGCGGCCUUCUGGACUGACACUGACACUGAGGUGCGAAAGCGUGGGUAGCAAACAGGAUUAGAUACCCGUGUAGUC
Molecule: ribosomal RNA, 465 nt
Filed under: Vreelandella stevensii
Lineage: Bacteria; Pseudomonadati; Pseudomonadota; Gammaproteobacteria; Oceanospirillales; Halomonadaceae
Description: partial 16S ribosomal RNA
Rfam family: Bacterial small subunit ribosomal RNA
Source: RNAcentral